GCUGCUCCUAGUACGAGAGGACCGGAGUGGACGCAUCACUGGUGUUCGGGUUGUCAUGCCAAUGGCACUGCCCGGUAGCUACAUGCGGAAGAGAUAAGUGCUGAAAGCAUCUAAGCACGAAACUUGCCCCGAGAUGAAUCUUCCCUGAGCCUUUAAGGCUCCUGAAGGAACGUUGAAGACGACGACGUUGAUAGGCCGGGUGUGUAAGCGCAGCGAUGCGUUGAGCUAACCGGUACUAAUGAACCGUGAGGCUUAACCUUACAACGCCAAAG
This 272-nucleotide ribosomal RNA is filed under the name Salmonella enterica. RNAcentral describes it as "partial 23S ribosomal RNA". It matches the Rfam family "Bacterial large subunit ribosomal RNA", at positions 2671 to 2925 of the family's 2925-position model. The record is from RNAcentral. Lineage: Bacteria; Pseudomonadati; Pseudomonadota; Gammaproteobacteria; Enterobacterales; Enterobacteriaceae.